GGGCACUUGGCACAGUUGGUAGCGCGCACGCUUCGCACCAAGUGAUUGCGUGAGGUCGUGGGUUCAACUCCCACAGUGUCCA
This 82-nucleotide transfer RNA is filed under the name Leucogyrophana mollusca. RNAcentral describes it as "tRNA-Ala". It matches the Rfam family "tRNA". From Rfam's summary of the family: Transfer RNA (tRNA) molecules are approximately 80 nucleotides in length. Their secondary structure includes four short double-helical elements and three loops (D, anti-codon, and T loops). Further hydrogen bonds mediate the characteristic L-shaped molecular structure. tRNAs have two regions of fundamental functional importance: the anti-codon, which is responsible for specific mRNA codon recognition, and the 3' end, to which the tRNAs corresponding amino acid is attached (by aminoacyl-tRNA synthetases). tRNAs cope with the degeneracy of the genetic code in two manners: having more than one tRNA (with a specific anti-codon) for a particular amino acid; and 'wobble' base-pairing, i.e. permitting non-standard base-pairing at the 3rd anti-codon position. Lineage: Eukaryota; Fungi; Basidiomycota; Agaricomycetes; Boletales. The record is from RNAcentral.